GGGGAUAUAGCUCAGCUGGGAGAGCGCCUGCUUUGCACGCAGGAGGUCAGCGGUUCGAUCCCGCUUAUCUCCACCA
This 76-nucleotide transfer RNA is filed under the name Gallibacterium anatis. RNAcentral describes it as "tRNA-Ala(tgc)". It matches the Rfam family "tRNA". From Rfam's summary of the family: Transfer RNA (tRNA) molecules are approximately 80 nucleotides in length. Their secondary structure includes four short double-helical elements and three loops (D, anti-codon, and T loops). Lineage: Bacteria; Pseudomonadati; Pseudomonadota; Gammaproteobacteria; Pasteurellales; Pasteurellaceae. The record is from RNAcentral. RNAcentral also lists the same sequence under 3 other names.